This is a long non-coding RNA of Numida meleagris (helmeted guineafowl), 370 nucleotides long. RefSeq lists it as uncharacterized. NCBI's taxonomy places the organism in Eukaryota, Metazoa, Chordata, Aves, Galliformes, Numididae. The record is from RefSeq and is a predicted model, not a curated record. The transcript is spliced from 3 exons.
UUAGAUUUUCAGAUCGUGGGAGUAAGUUACUUACAUUCUCCUUAGUAGAAGCCCUUCACCUUGCAGUGUACUGAAUAAGGAUUGAAAGGUCAGAAGAAAGCAAAAAAGGUUGAGACUAUUGCAGCCACUGGAUUCACCUUCCUGCUCUGGCCUUCGGAGCAGACAAGCCUGUGUUUGCUGCUAGGUCUUGUUGGUACUUGGCAUCCUUUUUUUGUUUGGCACGGCCUGAACUAGCUCAAGUCCUGAAGCGCUGCUGCCACAGGAGCACGGCUCUGGGCAUACAGUAACAAGCUCUGCUUCCUGGAGACCCGUGCUGUGUCCUGACCAGAAGAGAGUGCUCAGUGGAAAUUACAGCUUGGGGUAAGGCUAA